GGAAAGACCCCGUGAACCUUUACUGUAGGCUGAUAUUGGGUUGUGGUUUGUAAUGUGUAGGAUAGGUGGGAGGCUUUGAAGCUGGCGUUUUGGCGCCGGUGGAGCCAUUGGUGAAAUACCACCCUUCGUUUGUUUGUGGCCUAACCCCGAUUCCCAUGAACCUGGGCGGGGGACAGUGGGUGCUUGUCAGUUUGACUGGGGCGGUCUCCUCCUAAAGAGUAACGGAGGAGCCCAAUUGGUACCCUCAGCCUGGUUGGCAAUCAGGCAUCGAGCGUAAAGGUAGAAGGGUGCUAAACUGCGAGACUCAUAAGUCGAGCAGGUACGAAAGUAGGGCUUAGUGAUCCGGUGG
RNAcentral lists this ribosomal RNA (349 nucleotides) under uncultured alveolate. Its description in RNAcentral is "partial Bacterial large subunit ribosomal RNA". It matches the Rfam family "Bacterial large subunit ribosomal RNA", at positions 2082 to 2426 of the family's 2925-position model. The record is from RNAcentral.